Molecule: ribosomal RNA, 253 nt
Filed under: uncultured bacterium
Lineage: Bacteria
Description: partial 16S ribosomal RNA
Rfam family: Bacterial small subunit ribosomal RNA
Source: RNAcentral
UACAGAGGGGGCAAGCGUUAUUCGGAAUUAUUGGGCGUAAAGGGCGCGUAGGCGGCCUGGCAAGUGGAAGGUGAAAUCCCUCGGCUUAACCGAGGAACUGCCCUCCAAACUGCUUGGCUUGAGUCCGGGAGAGGUGAGUGGAAUUCCCAGUGUAGCGGUGAAAUGCGUAGAUAUUGGGAGGAACACCAGUGGCGAAGGCGGCUCACUGGACCGGAACUGACGCUGAGACGCGAAAGCUAGGGGAGCAAACGGG